GUGUUGUUUGUUAAGGGCACACGGUGGAUGCCUUGGCAUUAUGAGCCGAUGAAGGACGUGUAAGGCCGCGAUAGGCCUCGGGGAGUUGCCAAUAGAGCGUUGAUCCGAGGGUGUCCGAAUGGGGAAACCUGGCCAUGGUUAUGUGUGGUUACCCAUCAGUGAAUUCAUAGCUGGUGUGGGGGUGACGCGGGGAAGUGAAACAUCUCAGUACCCGUAGGAGAAGAAAAUAAUUAAUGAUUCUGCUAGUAGUGGCGAACGAACGUGGAUGAGGCUAAACCGUAUGCGUGUGAUACCUGGCAGGGGUUGCGUGUGUGGUGUUGUGGGGCGUUGUUGGAGGAGGCUGCCGGCUCCUCGCUUGUUAUAUGUGUGUGUUAGCGGAAGUGGUUUGGAAUGGCCUGCCGUAGUGGGUGAGAGUCCCGUACGUGAAAACAUGUGCAUGCGAGUGGAUGAUGUUCCCGAGUAGCAGCGGGCUCGUGGAAUCUGCUGUGAAUCUGCCGGGACCACCCGGUAAGCCUAAAUACUUAUGAUGACCGAUAGCGGAUAGUACCGUGAGGGAAUGGUGAAAAGUACCCCGGGAGGGGAGUGAAAUAGUACCUGAAACCGUGUGCUUACAAUCCGUCAGAGCCUCUUUUUGUUAGGUGAUGGCGUGCCUUUUGAAGAAUGAGCCUGCGAGUCAGCGGCAUGUCGCGAGGUUAACCCGUGUGGGGUAGUCGUAGCGAAAGCGAAUCCUAAUGAGGGUGUUUGUUAGUGGCAUGUCCUGGACCCGAAGCGGGGUGAUCUACCCAUGGCCAGUGUGAAGCAGCUGUAAGAGGUUGUGGAGGCGCGAACCCACUUAGGUUGAAAACUGAGGGGAUGAGCUGUGGGUAGGGGUGAAAGGCCAAUCAAACUCCGUGAUAGCUGGUUCUCCCCGAAAUGCAUUUAGGUGCAGCGUUGUGUGUUUCUUGCUGGAGGUAGAGCUACUGGUUGGUUGAGCGGGACUACAAUCUUAGCAAUGUCAGCCAAACUCCGAAUGCCGGUAAUGUUAAGCAUGGCAGUGAGACUGCGGGGGAUAAGCUCCGUUGGUCGAGAGGGAAACAGCCCAGAUCGCCGGUUAAGGCCCCUAAGGGUGUACUAAGUGGAAAAGGAUGUGGGAUCGCGAAGACAGCCAGGAGGUUGGCUUAGAAGCAGCCAUCCUUGAAAGAGUGCGUAAUAGCUCACUGGUCGAGUGGUUCUGCGCCGACAAUGUAGUGGGGCUCAAGUACACCGCCGAAGCCGCGGCAGUCAGCAAUUUUUUUGUUGGUUGGGUAGGGGAGCGUCGUGCACUGCUGUGAAGCACCUGGGUGACUUGAUGGUGUGGAGUGUGUGCGAGUGAGAAUGCAGGCAUGAGUAACGAAUGAAAAGUGGAAAACUUUUCCGCCGGAUGACUAAGGGUUCCUGGGUUAAGCUAAUCUUCCCAGGGUGAGUCGGGACCUAAGGCGAGGCCGACAGGCGUAGUCGAUGGAUAACCAGUUGAUAUUCUGGUACCCGUGUAUGUGCGCCCAGUGGUGAAUCAGUGGUACUAACCAUCCAU
This 1549-nucleotide ribosomal RNA is filed under the name Corynebacterium diphtheriae bv. mitis. RNAcentral describes it as "partial 23S ribosomal RNA". It matches the Rfam family "Bacterial large subunit ribosomal RNA", at positions 1 to 1494 of the family's 2925-position model. Lineage: Bacteria; Bacillati; Actinomycetota; Actinomycetes; Mycobacteriales; Corynebacteriaceae. The record is from RNAcentral.